UUCGGUUGAUCCUGCCGGAGGUCACUGCUAUUGGGAUUCGACUAAGCCAUGCGAGUCGAGAGGGUUCGGCCCUCGGCUGACGGCCCAGUAACACGUGGAUAAUCUGCCCUUAGGUGGAGGAUAAUCUCGGGAAACUGAGGAUAAUACUCCAUAGAUCUAGGAUGCUGGAAUGCAUCUAGAUUGAAAGCUCCGGCGCCUAAGGAUGAGUCUGCGGACUAUCAGGUUGUAGUCAGGGUAAAGACCUGACUAGCCUACGACGGAUACGGGUUGUGAGAGCAAUAACCCGGAGACGAUAUCUGAGACACGAUAUCGGGCCCUACGGGGCGCAGCAGGCGCGAAAACUUCACACUGUGCGAAAGCGCGAUGAGGGAAUCCCAAGUGUUUGCUCGUAAGAGUAAACUGUUUCUUUGUUUAAAACGCAGAGAGAGUAAGGGCUGGGUAAGACGGGUGCCAGCCGCCGCGGUAAUACCUGCAGCUCGAGUGGUGAUCAUUAUUAUUGGGCCUAAAACGUCCGUAGCCGGUUUAGUAAAUGCCUGGGUAAAUCGUGUAGCUUAACUAUACGACUUCCGGGUAGACUGCUAAACUUGAGACCGGGAGAGGCUAGAGGUACUCCUGGGGUAGAGGUGAAAUUCUGUAUUCCUAGGGGGACCACCAAGUGGCGAGGGCGUCUAGCUAGAACGGGUCUGACGGUGAGGGACGAAGCCCUGGGGCACAACCCGGAAUAAGAUUCCCGG
This 734-nucleotide ribosomal RNA is filed under the name uncultured archaeon. RNAcentral describes it as "bacterial SSU rRNA". It matches the Rfam family "Archaeal small subunit ribosomal RNA", at positions 1 to 740 of the family's 1478-position model. The record is from RNAcentral.